RNAcentral lists this ribosomal RNA (396 nucleotides) under uncultured bacterium. RNAcentral's name for it is "partial 16S ribosomal RNA". It matches the Rfam family "Bacterial small subunit ribosomal RNA", at positions 523 to 918 of the family's 1533-position model. The record is from RNAcentral.
AUACGUAGGGAGCGAGCGUUGUCCGGAAUUACUGGGUGUAAAGGGAGCGUAGGCGGGACUGCAAGUCAGAUGUGAAAUACCGGGGCUUAACCCCGGAGCUGCAUUUGAAACUGUGGUUCUUGAGUGAAGUAGAGGCAAGCGGAAUUCCUGGUGUAGCGGUGAAAUGCGUAGAUAUCAGGAGGAACACCGGUGGCGAAGGCGGCUUGCUGGGCUUUUACUGACGCUGAGGCUCGAAAGCGUGGGUAGCAAACAGGAUUAGAUACCCUGGUAGUCCACGCUGUAAACGAUGAUUACUAGGUGUGGGGGGACUGACCCCUUCCGUGCCGCAGUUAACACAAUAAGUAUUCCGCCUGGGGAGUACGGCCGCAAGGUUGAAACUUAAAGGAAUUGACGGGG